UACGUAGGGUGCGAGCGUUAAUCGGAAUUACUGGGCGUAAAGCGUGCGCAGGCGGUUUUGUAAGCCAGAUGUGAAAUCCCCGGGCUUAACCUGGGAAUGGCAUUUGGGACUGCAAGGCUGGAGUGCGGCAGAGGAGACUGGAAUUCCUGGUGUAGCAGUGAAAUGCGUAGAUAUCAGGAAGAACACCCGUGGCGAAGGCGGCUCUCUGGGCAUGUCCUGACGCUGAGGAGCGAAAGUGUGGGGAGCGAACAGG
RNAcentral lists this ribosomal RNA (253 nucleotides) under uncultured bacterium. Its description in RNAcentral is "partial 16S ribosomal RNA". It matches the Rfam family "Bacterial small subunit ribosomal RNA", at positions 524 to 776 of the family's 1533-position model. The record is from RNAcentral.